CAGCCAUACCACCCUAAAUGCGCCUGAUCUCGGAAGUUAAGCAGAGUCAGGCCUGGUUAGUACUUGGAUGGGAGGAUACAUGGUCCCAAUGCUGC
This 95-nucleotide ribosomal RNA is filed under the name Castor canadensis (American beaver). Lineage: Eukaryota; Metazoa; Chordata; Mammalia; Rodentia; Castoridae. The record is from RNAcentral.